UACGGAGACUGCAAGCGUUAUUCGGAUUCACUGGGCGUAAAGGGUGCGCAGGCGGUCAUGUGUGUCAGGUGUGAAAUCUCGGAGCUCAACUCCGAAACUGCGCCUGAAACUACAUGACUAGAGUAUCGGAGAGGUGAGCGGAAUUCAUGGUGUAGCAGUGAAAUGCGUAGAUAUCAUGAGGAACACCAGAGGCGAAGGCGGCUCACUGGACGAUUACUGACGCUCAGGCACGAAAGCAUGGGUAGCGAAAGGG
This 253-nucleotide ribosomal RNA is filed under the name uncultured bacterium. RNAcentral's name for it is "partial 16S ribosomal RNA". It matches the Rfam family "Bacterial small subunit ribosomal RNA", at positions 524 to 776 of the family's 1533-position model. The record is from RNAcentral.